Branchiostoma floridae (Florida lancelet) is the source of this 288-nucleotide long non-coding RNA. RefSeq lists it as uncharacterized. Lineage: Eukaryota; Metazoa; Chordata; Leptocardii; Amphioxiformes; Branchiostomatidae. The transcript has 2 exons. The record is from RefSeq and is a predicted model, not a curated record.
CCGCCAUUCGUCUGAGUGAAGGACUCACCUCGCAGCGUCCCAGCACAGAACAACAUCGCGACCGCUUGAGACAACAGUCCAGGAUCUUAGUGGUGCCAUCAAGCCCGGAUCAACUGCAGCCGCAAUGUUCAAGUUAAGUGCUUAUGUGUCUUCUGGGGUUAAAAUGGUAACAUCUUGCAGAUAUGGACUGGGACUAACUUCUCAUAGCCACGAUAGAAAGUAAAUGAAUUGAGUGUGUUUUGUUGACAUGCCGAGGGAUGUUUCUGGUAGAUAUUCGGACGUGCAUUU